This 460-nucleotide ribosomal RNA is filed under the name uncultured bacterium. RNAcentral describes it as "partial 16S ribosomal RNA". It matches the Rfam family "Bacterial small subunit ribosomal RNA", at positions 338 to 795 of the family's 1533-position model. The record is from RNAcentral.
GCUACGGGUGGCAGCAGUGAGGAAUAUUGGUCAAUGGGCGCGAGCCUGAACCAGCCAAGUAGCGUGAAGGAUGACUGCCCUACGGGUUGUAAACUUCUUUUAUAAAGGAAUAAAGUGAGGCACGUGUGCCUUUUUGUAUGUACGUUAUGAAUAAGGAUCGGCUAACUCCGUGCCAGCAGACGCGGUAAUACGGAGGAUCCGAGCGUUAUCCGGAUUUAGUGGGUUUAAAGGGAGCGUAGAUGGGUUGUUAAGUCAGUUGUGAAAGUUUGCGGCUCAACCGUAAAAUUGCAAUUGUUACUGGCAGUCUUGAUUACAGUUGAGGUAGGCGGAAUUCGUGUUGUAGCGGUGAAAUGCUUAGAUAUCACGAAGAACUCCUAUUGCGACGGCAGCUUACUAAACUGCCACUGCCAUUGAUGCUCGAAAGUGUGGGUAUCAAACAGGAUUAGAUACCCGAGUAGUC